UGGCGAACGGGUGAGUAACACGUGAGUAACCUGCCCACAACUUUGGGAUAACGCUAGGAAACUGGUGCUAAUACUGGAUAUGUGCUCCUGCUGCGUGGUGGGGGUUGGAAAGCUCCGGCGGUUGUGGAUGGACUCGCGGCCUAUCAGCUUGUUGGUGGGGUAGUGGCCUACCAAGGCGGCGACGGGUAGCCGGCCUGAGAGGGUGACCGGCCACAUUGGGACUGAGAUACGGCCCAG
RNAcentral lists this ribosomal RNA (237 nucleotides) under uncultured Actinomycetales bacterium. RNAcentral's name for it is "partial 16S ribosomal RNA". It matches the Rfam family "Bacterial small subunit ribosomal RNA", at positions 96 to 334 of the family's 1533-position model. The record is from RNAcentral. Lineage: Bacteria; Bacillati; Actinomycetota; Actinomycetes; Actinomycetales.